RNAcentral lists this ribosomal RNA (441 nucleotides) under uncultured bacterium. RNAcentral describes it as "partial 16S ribosomal RNA". It matches the Rfam family "Bacterial small subunit ribosomal RNA", at positions 338 to 795 of the family's 1533-position model. The record is from RNAcentral.
CCUACGUGAGGCUGCAGUGGGGAAUAUUGCACAAUGGUGGAAACCCUGAUGCAGCCACGCCGCGUGAGUGAAGAAGUAUCUCGGUAUGUAAAGCUCUAUCAGCAGGGAAGCAAAAAGACGGUACCUGCCUCAGAAGCGCCUGCUAACUACGAGCCAGCAGCCUCGGUAAUACGUAGGGGGCAAGCGUUAUCCGGAUUUACUGGGGGUAAAGGGAUCGUAGACGGAGCGGCAAGUCUGAAGUGAAAGGCAGGGGCUGAACCCCUGAACUGCUUUUGAAACUGCCAGGCUCGAGUGCUGGAGAGGUAUGUGGAAUGCCUGGGGUAGCGGUGAAAUGCGUAGAUAUUAGGAGGAACACCAGUGGCGAAGGCGGCUUACUGGACAGUAACUGACGUUGAGGCUCGAAAGCGUGGGGAGCAAACAGGAUUAGAUACCCGUGUAGUC